Molecule: ribosomal RNA, 1205 nt
Filed under: metagenome
Description: bacterial SSU rRNA
Rfam family: Bacterial small subunit ribosomal RNA
Source: RNAcentral
AGUUGGUGGGGUAAGAGCCCACCAAGCCAAUGACGCCUAGCUGGUCUGAGAGGAUGAUCAGCCACACUGGAACUGAGACACGGUCCAGACUCCUACGGGAGGCAGCAGUGGGGAAUAUUGCACAAUGGAGGAAACUCUGAUGCAGCAACGCCGCGUGGAGGAUGACGCAUUUCGGUGUGUAAACUCCUUUUAUAUGGGAAGAUAAUGACGGUACCAUAUGAAUAAGCACCGGCUAACUCCGUGCCAGCAGCCGCGGUAAUACGGAGGGUGCAAGCGCUACUCGGAAUCACUGGGCGUAAAGCGCGCGCAGGCGGCCUUUUAAGUUGGAUGUGAAAGCCUACGGCUCAACCGUAGAACUGCAUCCAAAACUAUUGGGCUAGAGUGUGGGAGAGGAAGAUGGAAUCAGUUGUGUAGGGGUAAAAUCCGUAGAGAUAACUAGGAAUACCAAAAGCGAAGGCAAUCUUCUGGAACAUUACUGACGCUGAGGCGCGAAAGCGUGGGGAGCAAACAGGAUUAGAUACCCUGGUAGUCCACGCCCUAAACGAUGAAUGUUAGUCGUCGGGUAGCUAGUCUAUUCGGUGAUGCAGCUAACGCAUUAAACAUUCCGCCUGGGGAGUACGGUCGCAAGAUUAAAACUUAAAGGAAUAGACGGGGACCCGCACAAGUGGUGGAGCAUGUGGUUUAAUUCGAAAAUACGCGAAGAACCUUACCUAGCCUUGACAUAUAUUAGAACACCCUAGAGAUAGAGUGGUGCCUUCGGGAGCUUUUAUACAGGUGCUGCACGGCUGUCGUCAGCUCGUGUCGUGAGAUGUUGGGUUAAGUCCCGCAACGAGCGCAACCCUCGUCACUAGUUACUAACGGUUCGGCCGAGGACUCUAGUGAGACUGCCUUCGUAAGGAGGAGGAAGGUGAGGACGACGUCAAGUCAUCAUGGCCCUUACGGCUAGGGCAACACACGUGCUACAAUGGCCAGGACAAUGAGACGCGAUACCGCGAGGUGGAGCAAAUCUAUAAAUCUGGUCUCAGUUCGGAUUGUAGUCUGCAACUCGACUACAUGAAGCUGGAAUCACUAGUAAUCGUAGAUCAGCUAUGCUACGGUGAAUACGUUCCCGGGUCUUGUACUCACCGCCCGUCACACCAUGGGAGUUGAUUUCACCCGAAGCGGGGAAGCUAAACUGGCUACCCUCCACGGUGGAAUCAGCGACU